This 253-nucleotide ribosomal RNA is filed under the name uncultured bacterium. Its description in RNAcentral is "partial 16S ribosomal RNA". It matches the Rfam family "Bacterial small subunit ribosomal RNA", at positions 524 to 776 of the family's 1533-position model. The record is from RNAcentral.
UACAGAGGGUGCGAGCGUUGUCCGGAAUUACUGGGCGUAAAGGGCGCGUAGGCGGGCCGCCGAGUCCGGGGUGAAAUCCUCCAGCUUAACUGGAGAACUGCCCCGGAUACUGGAGGUCUCGAGGGGGGUAGGGGCAUGCGGAACUGUGGGUGGAGCGGUGAAAUGCGUUGAUAUCCACAGGAACUCCGGUGGCGAAGGCGGCGUGCUGGACCCUUUCUGACGCUGAGGCGCGAAAGCCAGGGGAGCAAACGGG